RNAcentral lists this long non-coding RNA (303 nucleotides) under Mustela putorius furo (domestic ferret). RNAcentral describes it as "lncRNA (ENSMPUG00000024152.1)". The record is from RNAcentral. Lineage: Eukaryota; Metazoa; Chordata; Mammalia; Carnivora; Mustelidae.
GCUUUACCUCGUUGUUGAGCAGCAGGACAGCACCCCAAGGUUCAGCAAAAAGGGGACUGCAGAAGCAGCCACAAACGGAGGAGGCGGGAGAAACCCACAAACACAGAAUGCACAACUACUUCCAAAGAGACAGAGGUAACCUGAAAGACACUGCUUCCCACUGAAGUGGAAGUAUUAACUAUAAAGGAUUGAAUCCACACUGCAAAAGGAGACAAUGUACAGUUUACUGCACAGUUAGGAUGUGUAGGCGUGUAUAAACAUAUAAUUUCUACAAAUGAGGUAUGACUUAGUUUUGGCAUUAAC